AUUCGCAUUUCGAGUUAAUUAUAGAAUAAAUCGUAGCGUGAAUGGAUAAUGAGAGGACAAAUGCUUCCUUUAUCUGAUUUCCUGAACAAGCAGGUUACUGCCAAUGUUAGCCGUUCUUCUAACUGUCGAUCACUGCUGUUAAAGAUGUCGAAUGUUUCAGAUGUUUGUCUACCUUUGAGUGCAGGUGAGGACGUGUUCGAGCUGCUCCUUGUGAUUUCCAUUACAAGACCCAUUUACCAAGACCAGGUGCUCCAGUGUACAGCCGAGAAGGGUUCUUCUUUUGUGUUUAAUAUGGCGGUUGUCAAAGCAGAGGUGGUUCUGUUCUUCUUCCUUACGACGUGUCAAACCCUACAGGCAUUCAAGGUUGGGGCGGCGACAAAAUGGCGCCGUGUUAGCAGUUUCAAUAAAAUAAUUCAAUAAAAAACAGAGAGACAAAGUACACCUGGCUGAGCCUGCAGAAUGGGCUGUUACAAUAUCUUCAGUUCCUGAAAUAUUCCGUCCCACUGGUGGCGCUUACACAAAUAUUCAUGAUAUUCUCCUAUUGUGUGCGUGUCCUUGAGACAACGCACAAGCAAAUGAAACUGAAAAUAUUAGUACACGCUCCUCAAAUUGCAACUGUUUAAUAGAUUAUUUCGAAAAGGUAAUAAAAUAUUCCUUUGGAAUAUAAACCCUUCGUUUUGAUGACAGUCUUCAUGCCAGCAGCUACUUAAAGAAUGAUAUUUUUGUUUAAAAUAUUAUAAUUAUGAUAGGAAAUUAUAGUUUAGUUUCGUUUUAUUUAAAGGCAGCACGAAACCCUGAAAUGUGUCAAACAUAACACAUACUCAAACAACCUUAUGUAGCCUACCUGAUAUAAAACAAUUUCAAAACCAGUCAAAUAAAAUAAUUGUGAUAAUAAUAUAAUUUUUUUCUGAGAUAAUACAGCACAAAUACACAGAAAAAAUAGACAGCUACUUUACAAGAUGACGUUAUACUUGUUAAUAUCACCAAUGUCAUAAUAUGGUUUUGUUUUGCUUUUGUGAUUUUCCACAUUAUACUCAUCAAUCAUCUGGUAAAGUCACUGUCUGUUUCAGACUGGAUGUGAGAGCUGAAGUCUUGGAUAGCUCUGGCAGUGUGUGAUCCGGACAUCCAUGAAGGCUGUUCCCGAGUGCCAAGGCCCUGUUUUAAUAUUUACCUCAGAACCUCACGUUUAGCAUUGCUUCUUUUCACACAUUGUUUUGAAUGUCUUUUCAAUUUGUGUUACAUUCAUAGAGUAAUAACUUAUGUACUUGUUAUAACAUUCAAUGUAUUAAUAUUUAUAUAGGCUAACUGGAUUUGUUUUUGUUUGUUUGUUUGUUUGUUUGUUUUGUGUUUUUUUAAAACACAAAUAAAGAAAAGUCAAUUUUCAGGAUAAUAUUUUAAAGAUAAUUUUGUGCAUUCCAAAUAAGCUUUGCAGAUCUUUAGAAAAGGUCUUAACAAUGUUUGUCAUGUUUUUCGAUUAUUUCACAUGUACCUAUAGGUCAGUCAAGGUCACGGUUACAAUAACUUAGGACACUAAAGAGACCUUUCUACUGACUCUGAAAAACACCAGAAUAAAGAAGCCCAGGGUCUCUGAUCACCUGUGUGGACGUGCCUUAAUCCUGCUGCAGGAGGCAAGAGGACUGCAGAUGUGAACAGAGCAAUAAACUGCAAUGUCUGUAAUGUAAGAUGCCUGAGACAGUGCUAAAGGGAGACAGAAGGACAGCUGAUUGUCCUUCCAGUGCCAAACCACAUGUGACCAUAAGUCCCCCCAGACAUGUUUGAGAAUGUGAAAUGCCUUGAUGGAAGAGUGGAGUAACAUCUCACAGCAAGAGCUGCAAAUCUGGUGCUGCAUGAGGAUGAGAUGCUCUGUAAAGCAGCUGAUGCCACUUCAGACUUUCAGAUGUUCAUCAAACGUCUGUGAAAUUUGUUCACUUUAUGUCUCAGUUGUUGAAUCUUUUUGUUUGUACAAAUAUUACACGUUGAGUAAUUUGCUGGAAAAACAGCUGAAAAAUGUGCACCAAUAUUGAUUGAAUAAUAAUCAAGAAAUUAAGGUUGACAUCGAAUAUUCACACCAGUCUAUAGCUUAUUUUUAUUAGGACACAGAUACAUUUGUAGAGGUUUAUUUCAAGUUGUCAACACUAUGCAGUACUGUAGUCACAGAAUGACAAUGAAGGAAGCAGACUAAUCAAACUAUUCGAGAACUUUCUAAAUCCUCAAAUAAAUAAUAAUAAUAAUUUAAAAAAAAAAAAAGCUAAACAGAAAACACAUCAGUGUAAAACACGGUUAUUGGCUUAUGUUUGCUCUGCUGUAUCCUUACGUUAAUUGUUUAUCUGAAUGCCUGUGCUUUACUCAAUUAGCUCAGGCGAUUUAUCAUAUUAUGCAUUGUUUUGUACAUGUGAACUGUUGACUAACAUUGGAUAUUUUAUUACCUUUUCAAAAAUAAUCCAUUAAACCGAUGUGUUUUGA
Long non-coding RNA from Megalobrama amblycephala (Wuchang bream), 2463 nucleotides. RefSeq lists it as uncharacterized. The transcript has 2 exons. Lineage: Eukaryota; Metazoa; Chordata; Actinopteri; Cypriniformes; Xenocyprididae. The record is from RefSeq and is a predicted model, not a curated record.